This 365-nucleotide long non-coding RNA is filed under the name Phoenix dactylifera (date palm). RNAcentral describes it as "long non-coding RNA (PDAC_LNC019365)". The record is from RNAcentral. Lineage: Eukaryota; Viridiplantae; Streptophyta; Magnoliopsida; Arecales; Arecaceae.
CUAAUGCACUUGAAGCCCUCCUCUUGCUGCCGCCACCCUCCCCUCUCCUCCCUUGGUUCAACCGCAAGCAAGGUGCAAGGGAAAAAGAGCUUGGCGACAUCCCUUCUUCCUCCUCUUGGCUUCAACGCAUGAGAAAAGAAGAAGGCUGCGAAGGGCUUUGAUCUUCUUCCUCUUCUUCAUCCUUCUUCUUCCUCCUCUCAAGUGCAAUCAAGAGUUGAUUGAAAGAGAGGAGACCAGCCAUCAAAAGAAGUCUUUGCAAGGGAGCUAGCACCCUGGGAAGACAAGAAAGAUUUGAUCGGUCCUCUACUUCGUGUGGAUACCCGUAGAGGCCGGACGUUUGAACGGCUUCAAGCGAACCCUCUUCC